RNAcentral lists this ribosomal RNA (773 nucleotides) under uncultured Neocallimastigales. RNAcentral's name for it is "partial large subunit ribosomal RNA". It matches the Rfam family "Eukaryotic large subunit ribosomal RNA", at positions 20 to 644 of the family's 3401-position model. The record is from RNAcentral. Lineage: Eukaryota; Fungi; Neocallimastigomycota; Neocallimastigomycetes; Neocallimastigales.
ACUAGAGUAGCACUCGCAUAUCAAUAAGCGGAGGAAAAGAAACUAACAAGGAUUCCCCUAGUAACGGCGAGUGAAGCGGGAAGAGCUCAAAUUUGAAAUCUUAAAGGGUUUCCCUUUACGAAUUGUAGUUUAAAGAAGUGUUUUCUGUUGAGGUUUUGGUAAAAGUUCUUUGGAAUAGGACAUCAUAGAGGGUGAGAAUCCCGUAUUUGACCUUUACUUUCAACUUUGUGAUACACUUUCAAAGAGUCGGAUUGUUUGGGAAUGCAGUCCAAAAUGGGUGGUAAAUUUCAUCUAAAGCUAAAUAUUGGCGAGAGACCGAUAGCGAACAAGUACCGUGAGGGAAAGAUGAAAAGAACUUUGAAAAGAGAGUUAAACAGUACGUGAAAUUGUCAAAAGGGAAGCGUUUGACACCAGUGUUGUUUUUCUGAAAAUCAAUUAAAGAACUGUUUAUGCUAAGUUGUUUAGACUUUAUCAGCUAUCUGCUUAGUUUUGAGCUUUUCUUUAAUGCACUUUUCAGUUAACAAGUCAACAUCAAUUUCUUUUGCUGUAAAAAAGCUUGAGGAAGGUGGCUUGAGAUUCGUCUUAAGUGUUUAUAGCCUCUUGCCUAUGCAGUCGGGGAGAUUGAGGUCUGCAGCGUAGAUCCUUCGGGGCUAAAUGCAUUUGUGCUAAGUUAUAGCAUUUUAUAGACAACUUGUUGACUAUGAUUUGUCUUGUAGCUUACUCGCUUAUGUUAUUUUACCUACGCUUAGGAUGUUGAACUACUGAGACAUAGA